UGUCACCCAGUCUCUCCCCAUCCUCUGUUCUGUCUCCGUCUCUUGCUCUCCCUCUCUGUAGAAUAAAGUCACUCCUUCACUCAGUAAGGCAGUGACAGGUGAGCCAGCCGGGAGAUGCCUGCUCUGGGCCAGAUGCUGCACUGUCUGACUGACUGCUGUCCACAUGAGUACGAGACGUACGGCUGCUACUGAGGCCAGGAGGGCAAAGGGCAACCACUGAACCAGCUCGACAGGUGUUGUUUCUUCCACCGGUGCUGUGUGGAACAGAUCAGGACCAUGAUGUUGGGUGCUAACUUGAAAUAUACCUCUUCCUGUUGCUAUAUUAGAACUUACUGAUUGUGUCACAUGUAUAAUACUUGUAUAUGUUAGGGGUCAGUGAAGGGUGAAUAGUGUUAGGAUCUAAAUGAACCAAGUAGAAAGUCACGGACGACUAGUAAAGCUCAAACCAAGUUUAUUCAUCCAAAGGGUCAGACAGCUGAACAGACAAAAACAUGUUUCCACCAGCAACAGUAUUUAUACCCCAAUUUGGGGGAAGUCUCCUCCUUUCCUCUAAACAUGACAUCUCUGUUGCUAGGCAGGAAGUUAAUAAACCGGGUAAUAAACUGUUCCUUCUCCCUUAAUGUGACCUGUCCUGGGCCCCAUUACUCACUAAUCCACAGCUCUCCACCCUUACCAGUGACUGCAAACAUGUGAUUGCUUACCUUCACUCAGCACAUUCCACGCUUAAUUGCCUCGACCAUAUACAUUCCUCCUACAGAUACGCAUUAACUUCGGAUGUAGAAACCUGACUAUGGCACUCAUUUCCAUAGGAUACCUGAGGAUUAAACACUAUUUCAAGUUUAGGAGUCAGAUCCCAUCCAUAGGAACUUUGUAUUUGGAAGUACAAAACAGUUUGUCUGUUCAAACAUGUUCAUUUUGAAUAGGAAUAUUUCCAAGGAAGGAGGUAAAGAGCAACAGUCUCGUCUCAGUUCCUGAUAAGACAGGCGAGCGGCUGUGAAACUAGGACCCGGAGGGACGUGGAACUCAACUCGAGAUAAAGCCAACAGUUGAAGAGAGAAGAAACCUCUGGUAAGGGGACCAGAGGGGUCCGCCCUGACGACCGUUUAACAACAGUCACUUCCACACGCAUGAAGGUUCUAGACUUAAGCCGGGCCAUGACAAUAGCAGUAAGAGAAACAGACUCAGUUCGUGCCUAGCAACAGAGACAGAUUGUUUAUCUUAGACAUACAAGGAGGGGACUACGCCUAGUCGGAAGGUAUACGUACAUGCUUGUGUGACUUGAAUGUUGCGUUUGCAGCCGAAGCAUCCAGUAGGUUGAAUAAAAUCGUCCCGAGCCUUUUCUAGUCGUCCGUUUGAGUUCAUACUAGUUUUGUUCAGAACCUAACAAUGGGUUGCAGGCAAGAGAGAAAGCUUAAUGCCCACAUCACAUGAAAUGUAGAUAUUAAUGUAGGCAUGGUUUGAAUAACAGGGGGGCUAAGGCAGCCCCAUAACAAAUCAGGACCCUCCCAUUAGAAUACAAAAAACAAUGUAUUGGUAUUGGUAGACUGGUAUUCAAGAAAGUGACAUGUUUUAUUUCUGUUUAUUCUUUAAUUACUCAUGAGGUCAUGUUGAGGUUAGUGAAUCAAAAUGAGGCCUUAGUGUAUAAAAAGAGCUUUUUUACCUACCUGUAUAAUACAAAUAAAUAUUCUGCAUGUUUGUGCAAAGGGCAAAUUCCUGACCUGAGAAACAUGUACAACAUACAUAGAUAGACCUUUACCUUGAACCUUUUGUCACCUAUUGACAUUAAUGCAAGAUGAAUCCGUUUGUCUAAAGAGAGCAAGCCUGAGCCCAUAUAUGGUAUAUGCAGGUCCCAAUUAACCGGUACCAUAAUACACACACACACACACACACUUCAGGUGCAAUUGCCUACAUAUGGACUGUGGUCAAAAGUAGUGCACUAAAUGGGGAAUAGGGUGGCAUAAUUAGGAUGUGAUUUCCCCCCCCAUGUUUCUAACUUUAGAUAAAGCUUUACGAUUUUAAUUGUGAGCGAGAGUCAACCCUAUUCCUUGCAUAAGGCAUAGAAUUGAAACAAAUCUUUGGUAACACACACACACACACACAUAUAAAUCCUUAUAAGUGCAUUUAUAAUGCCUUAUGACACUUUAUAAUACAUCUCAAAACUCAAGUAGUCCAAGUUGUGUUGUAAUCGUACUCUGGUAUUAAAGAGUUUCUCUGGUAAUUUGGUAUACUUUCUACCCAGUAGUUCUGAAAGUAGUGCUCACGAGCGUGUACUACAUCACAUAUGUGCAGAUAUGGGCACCAUGUCAUUGCUCUCGCACCCUGCUGUGUGUGCAUCUUGCUAGCUGUCACUCAAAUGGCGAGGGGCUGAAGCUCAUUGGAUAACUUGAAUUGCUAGGGUCUGGUCCACGUGGGGGAAAAUGUAGGGAAAAUGGCACAGCACAUCUUUUAGAAAAAAAGUAUAUUAAACUAGGGAGGUAAAGCUGUAAUUCUGUUCAUAGAUUAUGCAUGUAUGAACAGCACAUUGACACAUACAGACCAAAGCAGGAAGUUUAAAGAAUACUUCGUAGUAGCCAAAGUUCUGGAGCAUGUCUUUAAAGUGUUGGAAGAACAGAAACAAAACACACCAUUUUCAUAGCUUUUAUAUAAACAUUUUAUUUUGAUCUUGUAUAUUUAUCUUCUAAUAAUCUCUAUGCACAAUGAUUCACUAUUGAAAAGAAGCUCUGUCGUCAUAGUGGUUAAAUUUAACAAUGUGUAGUUUGAAAUGAGCCAAGCUUUAUUAUUUGCAGUUCAGUGGUUUUUAAUUACAUUGCAAAGGUCAUGAAUUUAAAUUAACAUGCUUUAAUUGUGAUAGCGUACCAGCCUCCAUGCAAGUCUUUCUAAUUUUAUCAAAGUAUUUUUAACUUUGAUUUUUUUUUUUUUAAAAUCAUCACUGUAUGUCUAAUAAAUCACUGUGUGUGUUAAUUUCUUGAAAAUAAACACACAAUCAUUUA
Salvelinus fontinalis (brook trout) is the source of this 2990-nucleotide long non-coding RNA. RefSeq lists it as uncharacterized. NCBI's taxonomy places the organism in Eukaryota, Metazoa, Chordata, Actinopteri, Salmoniformes, Salmonidae. The transcript is spliced from 2 exons. The record is from RefSeq and is a predicted model, not a curated record.